AACGAACGCUGGCGGCGUGCCUAACACAUGCAAGUCGUGCGAGAAAGUUCCUUCGGGAGCGAGUAAAGCGGCGCACGGGUGAGUAACACGUAGGUAACCUGCCCCCCAGUCUGGAACAACUAGAGGAAACUCUAGCUAAUGCCGGAUGAGACCACGAUCCCUUCGGGGUUGGCGGCCAAAGAAUGGCCUCUACUUGUAAGCUAUCGCUGAGGGAUGGGCCUGCGGGCCAUUAGCUUGUUGGUGAGGUAACGGCUCACCAAGGCUGUGAUGGCUAGCUGGUCUGAGAGGAUGACCAGCCACACUGGGGACUGAGACACGGCCCAGACUCCUACGGGAGGCAGCAGUGGGGAAUAUUGCGCAAUGGCGAAAGCUGACGCAGCGACGCCGCGUGGU
Molecule: ribosomal RNA, 393 nt
Filed under: uncultured bacterium
Lineage: Bacteria
Description: bacterial SSU rRNA
Rfam family: Bacterial small subunit ribosomal RNA
Source: RNAcentral